UUAAAUGUGCAUGCUGUAUUUAUAGGUCAAUGUCAGGCAGGUGUCCCACAACUUUCCGCUUACAUCCAUUUUGGAGUAUAUCAAACUGGAAGGAGAUAUUACUUUUACAGCACUUAUGAAAAUGACUGUGCUGAUGGAGUCAAAUUAUUUAUUAAUGUACUUGAAGCACGCUCUACAAGCUCAACAGUAUAUCCUACCAUUGCAGCUAGUAAUACUAUGAAUCCAACUGUUACUGGAUCAACAAUUGGAUCAACCGGAACAACAACUGGAUCAACCAGAACAGUAACUGGAUCAACCGGAACAGUAACUGGAUUAACUACUUCCAGUACUUCUGCUACAAGCGCUUCGUCAACUGUUGGUAGCUCUUAUGAAAGUGGCAGUUCACAUUUGGAUAAACAAUAUUUUCUCAUCAUUGUUGCUGUUCUUGCUCCUUAUUGUUUUGCCCAUGUCAAUAAUGUGCUGUAGAAAAUGAAGAGGGAGCAGCUAGUGCACUAGCACGGUAAAACCACAUGACACAUAAUACUUGAUGCAUACAGGUACAAUCAAAAUAUAUUUAUUGUCUAUACAUGUGUAAUGACUUAUAUAAACACAACUCUCAGAGAUUAUUACAUUUGUGUAUUACUUUAUUAUUGUGUGUAUGUGUGCGUGGGUGAGUGUGCAUGCUCAGUGUGAAAGAUUUGGAACACAUGUUUUGUUUGUGUGAUUUGAGCCCUCUUCUUUGUUACUAUUUUGAUUCUUCGUAAUAAUUUUGUCAACCAUCUUACACAUGCAUGAGUCACUUGAUUUAUUAUUGUUGUAAAAUUUGAAUUCACUAACAACAAA
Long non-coding RNA from Amphimedon queenslandica, 822 nucleotides. RefSeq lists it as uncharacterized. Lineage: Eukaryota; Metazoa; Porifera; Demospongiae; Haplosclerida; Niphatidae. The transcript has 4 exons. The record is from RefSeq and is a predicted model, not a curated record.